UCAAGCGACUAAGUGUAUGUGGUGGAUGCCUUGGCGAUUACAGGCGAAGAAGGACGUCGCAGCCUGCGAAAAGCCGUGGGGAGCUGGCAAGCGAGCACUGAUCCACGGAUGUCCGAAUGAGGGAACUCACCCGCAAGGGUAUCUUGAAGUGAAUACAUAGCUUCAAGAGGCGAACGCAGCGAACUGAAACAUCUAAGUAGCUGCAGGAAAAGAAAUCAACCGAGAUUCUGAAAGUAGCGGCGAGCGAAAUUGGAAGAGCCUGCAAGUGAUAUUGAAUUCGAUACUGGAACGGUCUGGAAAGUCCGGCUACAGAGGGUGACAGCCCCGUACGGGAAAUUGGGUUCAAGGUACUGAGCUUGCGAGAAGUAGAGCGGGACACGUGAAAUCCUGCUCGAAGAUGGGGGGACCAUCCUCCAAGGCUAAAUACUCGUAAUCGACCGAUAGCGAACCAGUACUGUGAAGGAAAGGCGAAAAGAACCCCGGGAGGGGAGUGAAAUAGAUCCUGAAACCGCAUACAUACAAACAGUAGGAGCCCGCAAGGGUGACUGCGUACCUUUUGCAUAAUGGGUCAGCGACUUACGUUCAAUGGCAAGCUUAACCGAGUAGGGGAGGCGCAGCGAAAGCGAGUCCGAACAGGGCGACAUGAGUCGUUGGGCGUAGACCCGAAACCAGAUGAUCUAUCCAUGGCCAGGCUGAAGGUGUGGUAACACACACUGGAGGGCCGAACCGACUAGUGUUGCAAAAUUAGCGGAUGAGCUGUGGAUAGGGGUGAAAGGCUAAACAAAUCUGGAGAUAGCUGGUUCUCCCCGAAAACUAUUGAGGUAGUGCCUCGUGUAUGGCUCCAGGGGGUAGAGCACUGUUAUGGCUAGGGGGACAUGGCGUCUUACCAAACCAUGGCAAACUCCGAAUACUUGGAAGUCUGAGCACGGGAGACAGAGCACCGGGUGCUAACGUCCGGACUCAAAAGGGAAACAACCCAGACCGCCGGCUAAGGUCCCUAAUAUUGACUAAGUGGAAAACGAAGUGGGAAGGCUAAGACAGUCAGGAAGUUGGCUUAGAAGCAGCCAUCCUUCAAAGAAAGCGUAAUAGCUCACUGAUCGAGUCUUCCUGCGCGGAAGAUGUAACGGGGCUAAGUCAAUAACCGAAGCCGCGGAUUCGCAGCAAUGCGAGUGGUAGGGGAGCGUUCUGUAAGCCUGCGAAGGCGGAUCUGCGAGGACCGCUGGAGGUAUCAGAAGUGCGAAUGCUGACAUGAGUAACGUUAAAGCGGGUGAAAAGCCCGCUCGCCGCAAGCCCAAGGUUUCCUGCUCUACGUUCAUCGGAGCAGGGUGAGUCGGCCCCUAAGGUCAGGCUGAGAAGCGUAGCUGAUGGGAAGCUGGUUAAUAUUCCAGCACCGAUUUCAAGUGCGAAGGGGGGACGGAGUCCUGAAGGUCAUCCGGGUGUUGGAUAUCCCGGUUUACGAGCGUAGGAGGUUGACAGGCAAAUCCGUCAACGAAUCUCCAAGGCGAAGGAUCGAGGUUGAGAGAUCAACUGAAGUGACUGAAUGGGCUUCCAGGAAAAGCCUCUAAGCAUCAGCUUGGAAUUGACCGUACCGCAAACCGACACUGGUGGGCGAGCUGAAUAUGCUCAGGCGCUUGAGAGAACUCAGGAGAAGGAACUCGGCAAAUUGACACCGUAACUUCGGGAUAAGGUGUGCCUUUGUAGUGUGAAGGGAGAAACACCCCGAGCAUGAAGAGGCCUCAGAGAAUCGGUGGCUGCAACUGUUUACUAAAAACACAGCACUCUGCAAAGAUGAAAGUCGACGUAUAGGGUGUGAUGCCUGCCCGGUGCUGGAAGAUUAAUUGAUGGGGUGCAAGCUCCUGAUCGAAGUCCCAGUAAACGGCGGCCGUAACUAUAACGGUCCUAAGGUAGCGAAAUUCCUUGUC
RNAcentral lists this ribosomal RNA (1922 nucleotides) under human gut metagenome. RNAcentral describes it as "bacterial LSU rRNA". It matches the Rfam family "Bacterial large subunit ribosomal RNA", at positions 3 to 1973 of the family's 2925-position model. The record is from RNAcentral.